GCAGAUAUUUCCAUACUGCCACCGAAUACAUUACAUGGGAUAAUGGAAUAGGACCCUGUCCUUCAUGUUUCGCGUUGGUUGUGCCACGUGCGUGCGCUUCGCGGUGUGCGCGCGUGGCAUGGUUUCCUCUAAAGGAGGACCAGGGUAAUGAUUAAUAGGGAUAGUUGGGGGCAUUAAUAUUUAAUUGUCAGAGGUGAAAUUCUUGGAUUUAUGAAAGAUUAACUUCUGCGAAAGCAUCUGCCAAGGAUGUUUUCAUUAAUCAAGAACGAAAGUUAGGGGAUCGAAGACGAUUAGAUACCGUCGUACUCUUAACCAUAAACCAUGCCGACCAGCGAUUGGGAGACGUUUCACACGGGGGUGGUCCCCAUGGGGAGAGUGCGUGGGGGUGGCCGCUUCAUGCGGUGGCCUCCUCGCCUUUCCCUUUGGGGGGCCGCCCCCAAAAAAGGAACACCCCCCUAACAGCUUGAGAAAA
Molecule: ribosomal RNA, 472 nt
Filed under: Acanthamoeba genotype T9
Lineage: Eukaryota; Discosea; Longamoebia; Acanthamoebidae
Description: partial 18S ribosomal RNA
Rfam family: Eukaryotic small subunit ribosomal RNA
Source: RNAcentral